Long non-coding RNA from Stegodyphus dumicola, 636 nucleotides. The record is from RefSeq and is a predicted model, not a curated record. Lineage: Eukaryota; Metazoa; Arthropoda; Arachnida; Araneae; Eresidae.
GCCGAUCUGGCCAUGUGGUCUUUUAUUUCUUGAAGAUAAGUGCGUCUUACUUUUUUUAGGCAGGCAGAAAUUCCUUGUUACCAUUUUGUUGUUCUCUCUGAUCUUUCCAUUGCGUAACAAGCAUAUCUCACGUUCAUCUUGAUGAGAUGGUCAAGGAAAAGGAAAAAAAUUCAAGAAAAGUCAAGUCAUUUAGAAAGCAUGACUACAUGGAGAGAACUUUAAUGAACGUGCUGAAGAACUUUAAUGAAGCUUUAAUUAAGCAUGCUGCAGAACGACUUUGUGCAUGUAUUAUAGACUAGUCACCAAAAGAAACGACGCUUAAUACUGUAUCGAACGCUUUAAAAGCAACGUUUGGUGACAGUGUGAUACGAACCGUUGCCCUGAAAUCCAUAUUUAUGAAACAUUGGGCCAUUACUAGUUUCUUUGCUUAUGAUGUUCUUUUGUAAAGCACGUGUCUGAAUCACGGAUGUUGGAUGAGACGCCCUCCAUCCUCCAUCGGCCGGCGGGAUGGAAUAUCCGAAAACGUGGAGGAACGGAUGCACGUCUCGAGGGAUUUAAAUGUACCAUUUAGUAAUGGAUGUUACAUGUUCUUAACCAUUCCUUUUCGUGAUUUAAAGUGCCUGUUUUCCGUGUGUA